Molecule: long non-coding RNA, 238 nt
Filed under: Elaeis guineensis (African oil palm)
Lineage: Eukaryota; Viridiplantae; Streptophyta; Magnoliopsida; Arecales; Arecaceae
Description: long non-coding RNA (EGUI_LNC057845)
Source: RNAcentral
UUGGGGUUGGCAUCAACGGUUGGGUUUGGGUUAUGGUUAGGGUUAGGGUUUGGAUGAUAGAGGUGGAUGAUAGAGGUGGAGUAGGGUUAGGGUAAUGCAUGGUCAGUGUUAGGGUUUCAACUAGGCUUUUCAAUUGGGAAGAACCAGGGAUGGUAAGGGUUUAGAUUAGGGGUAUUGGGAUGGUGGUAGGGAGGGUGGGGGUUGAUGCUAGGGUUUGGAUUUGGGUUAGGGUUAGAUU